RNAcentral lists this ribosomal RNA (638 nucleotides) under Bacillus subtilis. Its description in RNAcentral is "bacterial SSU rRNA". It matches the Rfam family "Bacterial small subunit ribosomal RNA", at positions 153 to 769 of the family's 1533-position model. Lineage: Bacteria; Bacillati; Bacillota; Bacilli; Caryophanales; Bacillaceae. The record is from RNAcentral.
AAAACUGAGCCGAAUUCCGGAUUGACUAUCUGAUACCGCCUGGUUCAAACAUAGAAUGGUGGCUUCGGGCUACCACUUGCAGACGGAACCGCGGAGCAUUAGCUAUACUGGUGAGGUAACGGCUCUACCAAGGCGACGACGCGUACCCGACCUGACAAGGUGAUCGGGCCACACUGGGACUGAGACACGGCCCAGACUCCUACGGGAGGCAGCAGUCGGGAAUCUUCCGCAAUGGACGAAAGUCUGACGGAGCAACGCCGGGCGAUUGAUGAAGGUUUUCGGAUCCUAAAGCUCUGAUGUUAGGGAAGAACAAGUACCGUUCGAAUAGGGCGGUACCUUGACGGCACCUAACCAGAAAGCCACGGCUAACUGCGUGCCAGCAGCCGCGGUAAUACGUAGGUGGCAAGCGUUGUCCGGAAUUAUUGGGCGUAAAGGGCUCGCAGGCGGUUUAUUAAGUCUGAUGUGAAAGCCCCCGGCUCAACCGGGGAGGGUCAUUGGAAACUGGGGAACUUGAGUGCAGAAGAGGAGAGUGGAAUUCCACGUGUAGCGGUGAAAUGCGUAGAGAUGUGGAGGAACACCAGUGGCGAAGGCGACUCUCUGGUCUGUAACUGACGCUGAUGAGCGAAUGAACCUUGGCC